Mugil cephalus (flathead mullet) is the source of this 1685-nucleotide long non-coding RNA. RefSeq lists it as uncharacterized. Lineage: Eukaryota; Metazoa; Chordata; Actinopteri; Mugiliformes; Mugilidae. The transcript is spliced from 3 exons. The record is from RefSeq and is a predicted model, not a curated record.
UUCUGACCUGUAUUAAAUGAUAUCCGUCUUGUUUUAUUUUAUUUACCCUGGGGAUUGUAUUCAGUUUGUUUGGUGCGCAUGAACGCGUCUGUCUUUCAUAUAGUUGUUGCUGUGUAGCCAAGGAGAUGUUGUCAACAGAGAGUGGCCCUUGACGGUCGCUUGAUAAGACACGAUGCGCCAGGCCAUGGAUAAACAUGCAAAGUCCACGCUGCACCUCCAUUACAAUCGAGUACGCCCUGCUGGAAAAGAUAUCGGUGCGCGGACGCGCAGACGCACUCGAAAAGAAGAAGACGUUGCACGUGAUUCCGCUAAGCUCCCGGCCUCAACACAAAUUGGAACUUUGUUGAGUUGACUUGUCCCAGCUCCGUCGCUGCACUAACGUUGAAGCCUCAGGCUCGCGGCAUCCACAUCUGCAGACGGAAGGAAGGGAGAUGCAGAGGGAAGGGAGAAGCGAGCAGGGAGAAAGAGAGUGAAGGUCACUCCAUCACAGGACAUCCCUGGUUAAAAAUCCACCAGAAGCUGGAGAUAAAAUAACCCGUACAGGAUUCUAAAGUGGAUGCAGAGAAGAGAUGCGAGCGUCAUCAAUCGUAUGUUUUUGCAUUCACUGAAAGAGAUACACUUGACAAACGCGGGCAAGGACCCCGUGUUGCAGCAGCAGAUCCGACUCUCUGCACAUUCACACAGGACGGCAUUCAGACACGGAAGCACUAUCUAGGCCACUGGGCUGCAAUCAGCAUCAGUGAGAGGGAGGGCGGCGGGAGAACUGGGAUGCAAACCUACGCAUCCACAUUCGUGUCUCUGCGUGUGUGGCCAAGCAGCUUCCCCUGAUGAGGCUCCUCAUCACACAAAUCCGUGUCUCUUCCCCUGGAAUAUAAAUCCAGACGGUGGCAUCUGGAUUACAAGCAACAGACCACAUGCACCGUGUUUACAGUCCACAGUGACAUAAGAGUUUGGGUUGUGGUUUCAUGGAUUAUUACAGGACAAUAUGCAAGCAAGCUUACCUUACCCGCAUAAUGAUGUGUAAUGUGAUGUGUGUUGUUUUAUAUAGGGGAAGCUUUAAUGAAACACACUGCAUGUCAUGUACAGCUCUGUCUGCUUCUUUGGCUGCAGCCCUUUGUCCUCCCAGAAGAAUGAAUAAAUAAAGUACUGACGCGUUGCUACUGUGCUACAGUAUUUGUUUGUCAAUGGUUUCCUCGUGGAUUAUAAUUUCUUCCGCUCGCAGCCCAGAUGAGGACCGGGCAUAUCGAGAUUAAGGCCGAUAGAUAAUCCGAUCACAGGGCUGUUUGAACUGAUGGGGGUGACCGCUCACUCGAGCAAACUGUUUUCCCAUGGAAAUUUUAUGAGUGGGAAGCAUUUUGCCAAUAAGAUCAAUAAAAACAUAAACCACACGCUGGCACGGAGAGCUACCAGCUGAGGCUGGAGGCUCUCAGUGGCUGACAUUGUUAUUUAGUUUUUCUUCUUUUAUUAUUUUUAUUAUUAAUCAUUGACUACAUGUCGCUGUGUGGGCUUUGCAAUGAAUGCCAGGAAUGUUGUGUUAAUGUGUAAACUAGACCUUUCCACAUCACGGAUUUGAGGCUUUUUAACCUUUUUGGAAUAGCGCUUGAAGUCAGCAGUUUCAGUUACAGUCGAGUGAAGGAAAGACAGUAGAGACACGAUCUGAGCAAGAGUCAGUGAAAGGCACUGGA